This 333-nucleotide ribosomal RNA is filed under the name Triticum aestivum (bread wheat). RNAcentral's name for it is "partial small subunit ribosomal RNA". The record is from RNAcentral. Lineage: Eukaryota; Viridiplantae; Streptophyta; Magnoliopsida; Poales; Poaceae.
AUGGUUGCCACGACGAAGAUCCCGCAGCGGCAGCUCUUCAUCGACGGCGACUGGCGCGCGUCGUCGCUCGGCCGCCGCCUCCCCGUCAUCAACCCCACCACCGAGGCCUCCAUCGGCGAGAUCCCGGCGGGCACCUCGGAGGACGUGGACGCGGCGGUGGUUGCCGCGCGGGCGGCCCUCAAGAGGAACCGCGGCCGCGACUGGUCCCGCGCGCCCGGCGCUGUCCGAGCCAAGUACCUCCGCGAUCACCGCCAAGGUACUACUCUCCUGCUGCUUCCGCGCGCAACUACAACAAUUGGCCAUGUGAUUGCGUAUGUAGAUAUGCUUGGAUAG